Molecule: long non-coding RNA, 1139 nt
Filed under: Phasianus colchicus (ring-necked pheasant)
Lineage: Eukaryota; Metazoa; Chordata; Aves; Galliformes; Phasianidae
Description: lncRNA (ENSPCLG00000020295.1)
Source: RNAcentral
UGGGUCUUUAUGGGGUCCCGUGGGGUUUGAUGGGGUCUCUAUGGGGUUUUAUGGGGUCUCUAUGGGGCUCUGUGGUCUUUAUGGGGUCCCGUGGGGUUUUAUGGGGUCUCUAUGGGGUUUUAUGGGGUCCCGUGGGGUUUUAUGGGGUCUCUAUGGGGCUCUGUGGUCUUUAUGGGGUCCCAUGGGGUUUUAUGGGGGGUUUUAUGGGGUCUCUAUGGGGCUCAAUGGGGCUCUGUGUCUCCAUGGAGUCUCUAUGGGGCUCUAUGGGGUCUGUGCGAUUCCAUGGGGUUUAUGGGGUGCCUGUGGGUCUCUAUGGGUCCUAUGGGGAUCUAUGGGGUCUCUAUAGGGUUCUUUGGGACCUAUGGGGUCCAUAGGGCUGCAUCGGGUCCCUAUGGGGUCUCUGUGGGGCUCAAUGGGGAUCUAUGGGGCCUGUAUGGGAUCAGUGGGGCUCCACGGGUUCUCUAUGGGAUCUCCGUGCGUUUUUGGGGCGCUUUGAGGCGCUUUUGGGGCCGUUUCGGGGGUCCCGCGCCCCCUCCCAGGCCACGGAGGGCGGGACUUUGCUCAGUGCCGCGCUCCCAUUGGUCACCGGGGAACCCCCGCGCCAUCUCAUUGGUCGUCCCGGGAGGGGAGGAAGGGGAGGGGUCAGCCCGCCUCCAUCCCAUGGUUCCCGGGUGGAGCUGCACAAGAUGGCGGCGGGCGCGGAGCACGCUGGGAGUCGCAGUUCUUCGGAGCCCGUUUAGAACGGCAGGAAGCGGAAGCGCGGACUACAGCUCCCGGCAUCCCCGGCGAGAGGGAGAGCGGGAGGCAGCCUAAGAUGGCGGCCGCGCGCGGUGCAUGCUGGGAGCGGUAGUCCCGCGCUCAACUCACCGCCGUUCUGAGAGCGGGAGGCGGGAACUACAACUCCCAUCGCCCCGCCCCCCCCGCGCGCGCGGCCGCCGUUGGACCGGAAGUGGAGGCGGAGCCGCGUGGCGUCGCCUCGCGUCGCUUCGGGCGUUCGUGUGUGGCGGCCGUUGCUGCAGCGCGGAGAGGAGAUUUGGGUGCGUGGCGGAUAGCGGAGCGGAGGCCGAUAGGUGAGAAGCGGGAGGGAACCGGGAGGGGGUGGGGAUAACGGGGGAGGGGGGGGCGGGAAACGAAACGGA